This is a long non-coding RNA of Gallus gallus (chicken), 8992 nucleotides long. RefSeq lists it as uncharacterized. The transcript has 3 exons. Lineage: Eukaryota; Metazoa; Chordata; Aves; Galliformes; Phasianidae. The record is from RefSeq and is a predicted model, not a curated record.
GUGGCCUGCAGCUUCCUCCUCUGCUGGUAGCAUUCAGCGCUGUCACUCCCAGAAGGAUGAGCAGGGUUUCUGCCUCAGCUUCCUUACUUACACAGCCUCAUGGAAGAAGGAAGGAAAGGGAAAUCACUGAGCAUACAUUUAUUGAACAGGAUAGACUUUCUGAAGCUGAAGACUUUAAUUUGCUGCCGAUCAGAAAAGAGAGGAGCUGGCCAUCACAAUCUCACUGAUGGAUAUACCUGAUGGACAAUUUGGCUUUCCCAGCUGUCUCCUGAAGAGCAGAAUUAUGGAGCCCAGAAGACUAAAAUCCAGUGAGUGGUACAUAUGUGGAAAAGCAGCUGUUUUAAAAUACCUUACGUUGGAGCUGGUAAUAGAUUAACUCUUGCUUUUACUACUUGGCAGAAAAUCGAGAAUAAAUUUCUCUGGAUGAAUUAGGACCUUGUUUAACUUCCAGCAGAAAAAUGAGGAGUUCUAGAAAAGUUGAUGGACUGCUUUCAAUUUUAUAAUGCAGAAAAACAAGCUGUUAACCUACAGAAAUAAUAACCAUGUGCUGUUGUGACUUGUUCUCUGCUUGUCUUCAGGCCCCGAGUGUUUGUAUUGGGAGAGAAUGCUAACUUUAUUGCUGGUGCCAGGGUUUCCUUUAUUUGCUUUUGACAUUUCACGUGUUUGUACUGUGGUGCCUGGCAACUUAUAUCACAAACUAAUUGGAGUAAGUGAUGAUUAAUAAAAUAAAGAAAAAUGAGGGUCAGCAGUAUGGGAGGGCAGGCAAUAAUAUGGGCCGUGACUCACUGAGGUAUGCAAAAAGCACAGGCGGCGGAAGGAAGGGAGUUAAGAACAGAUCACAUUACUGGCCCACCUCAGCCUCGGUGGGCAGUCAGCUGGCACAGGCAAACUAGAGCCAUUUCUUUAGCCAGUGCAAACAAAGAUGUCACAUGACUGUCCGUGCUUCCCGAGCCUUUGGGUAUGUCUGGUGGGUGGCUGCCGUCUGACUGGAGCCCAUAGGCUGUGGAUGCAGACCAGCUCCAGACAUGAGCUGUGUCGUUGGGUGAGCUUGAUCCCAUGUCUGCCUUUCUGCAGAGCUUGUUUGCUUGAGCACAGUGCUGCACUAACAUUGUGGCACAUCACGCACCUCUGGGCUGACUCGCAUCCGGCAGCCUCUGAGCACGGGCCAGACAAGCAUUCAUCCACCUUCUCACAGCUGCACUGAGCUCUCCCAAACCAGAGCUUUACUACUCGGCUUAUCUGAAAGGUGAUCCAGAUGAAAAUCUCAAGUGCAAGUCCAUUCCUCUUGUUACCUCCAGAGACACAGCACUGCUUUGCCUUCAUUCUCUAAGUGACAAAAAAAGGGGCAGUGAAAGUUAUGCCCCUGAAAGUCCUAACAAGUGGAGGUACUGGAAGACGCACUGUGACAAGGAGGAUGAAUGAAGGUAUCUGCUGCAAUCUAUACUGAGAGAUACAUUUGAGGAACUAGAUUUAGUGUCUUCUUACUGAAUGUGAUUCGCUCUGUUCCUCUCCUUCUAUUCUUUUUCUCCCAGAGGAAUGGUGAGAAUAGGAAACUUCUAACAGCAAAGGAUGCUUCUGUCAGACUGUUAACUCCCUGAGAGUAAUAACAUGGAAACUGUUGUCUGGCAUUUUCUAUGUUGCUUCCACACUUACAAAACAAAGUGUAACAGUGCUACAAUUCCUUCUUUAUGUUGCCAGCUAAAGAAUUGAUGGAGGAAAAAUAAAUAAUUCUCUCUUUUCAAAAUAAAGGCUGAAAUAAAAGAGGUGAUGAGAAAUUUACUUCCUUUGCUUUCCUUCCUUAGCCAAGAAUUCAAGUUCAUUAGGGCAUCUAAGGAAAACAAUGCAGGAAGGCCCUAUAGCAGUGUGCUGUAAACAUUCUCCACGUGAUUUUCCUCCCUUUUACUGAGUUGACCAUGGGCUGCACUCUUAUUAUUUGCUAUUGCAAAUUGUGAAGUUUCUCCACUUCCUUAAUUUUAACCUUCUCAGCCCCUGAUAUUCAUUUUAUACUGAAGAAUAACAUUUCAAAUGGAAGAACAAAAUCUUACUUUGUCAUUCUGCUGCCAAUCCUCUGCUCAGCUGUGCAAGAUUUUUCCACCAAUGAAACACAGACCCAAAUACUCACCUCUCAGCAGUAGGCCUCCCUUCAAGAUGUGUCCUGCUGACACCCUUUCUGAUGUAUGCUUGAAACACACUGCAGUCUGCAGUCAUGUCACAUUACCUCACUAAUCAGCACAUAUGACUGCUAUGCCAAUGAACUUAGCCUCCUAUUAACACAGACUAUCCUGAUGCAUAACCUUUUUCAUAAAUUUAAUAGUAUUGUUUGGAAAACUAUUCAGAGUUCUCCCUAUUGCUUUCACUGACCACCUUUCCCUCCAGCAUACCCAGUUAGAAACCAUUUUCUAGCUUGCACUUUUUGCUUCCAGUUUUCCCUACUUUUCUAAACAUUUUAUUUAAGCAAGAGCCUAUCCUACCCCUUUUGGUAUUCUCACACAUGAUUCUCUGCAUCUAAGGCUAGCAGAGAUUCACUUUGCAGUCACUGUAUUUUACAUGCCUGAAGGCAAGUCUGAAACCCCAAAUGGGAAGGCCCAAAGCAAGGUACUGAGCUGAUUUAUUGUCUAAAACACUAAGGGUAGCUGUACUGAGUAGGUUUUGAAUAGUUUGUACCAGGUCAUAAAUAAGACUGUGUUGAGCACAUGGAAGACUGACUCUAAGAAAUCAUGAAGCGUGUUUGUUUAUUUCUAAAGAUAAGUAUUGGGUACCAUCCUUGUAAUGCCCUCUGCGAGAACUGAGCAGAAGAAGGCAAAAACAGUGUUUAGUUUUAGAGGUUAGAGGAUUUUAGCAAUGAUCAGCUUUUUUCAUUCACUUACAUAUGGUCUUACAGGAUGAACAGGUUGUAAGCUGUGUAAAUAGCGUAACAGAAUGUGAACAAAGAGAAAAGACUGGAUAUUUUCCUCAAGCUCAGGAUGUCAGGGCAAAUACAGGCAGCUUUAGAUUGUGUUUUGAUGUACCGUAAGAAGUUUUAAAAAGUUUGUAGUAGGCCAGCAUUGGACAAAUCUGCAUGGUAUGAAUGACUAAAUGAAAUCCAGUGGACCAGAAUAUUGGAAAUUAGAUUUUCUAUACAGUGUGUGAUUUUUGUAUUUUUUUUAGUACACAUCACAAACACAUAUUUAGCAGUAUCAAACUGAAAACAACUUAUUUCCGUGAGCAUGGGACAAAAGGCAAGUAAGCGGCUACUUCUCUACCUGACUUCAUUUUACUUAUCCAUGUUUAGCUGUACGGUGCUGCAGUCCUAAGACCAGUCUGAGUUCAGGCAACCUGCAGAUCCCAUCCCAUACUAAUCCUGUGCAGUACACUACUUCAGGAUCCUUCUAGGAGAGUGAUCACAUUUGCUUCAUCUUCCUGCUGCAACUAGAGAAGCACACAAAAUAUGUGGCUGCUCUAAUAUGCAGAUAUAGCAAAAGUCCUGUCUUUCUCCUAUUAUAUACACCAAACAAUAUUUACAGAUUGUAUAUAGAAGAGGACUUAAAUCUAUCAGGACAGAUAUAGAGUUUAGUAGCAAGUACUACACCAGUCUAUUCAGAAAAAAUACUUUGAAAAAUAAAAGAUAAAAAGGUAGAUACAUUUUGAAAAUAUUUCUUGUUUAUUACCACAUCCUCACUAUUUUCUUCAUGACAAAAAAAAUGGUAUACUUUUGUAGAGGUUUACAUCACUGUAGGUUUUUAUCAUUUAUUCAUAUAGACUUAGAUGUAGAACAUGUGCCUUACGGCACUCCCAUUGAACACAGAUGCAAGGAUUUGGCUUUGCCUUUAUAAUUGUUUCUGUUAUAAACCCCUAUUUCAGAGUUCAGAUUUUGGUUAUAAAAAACGCUUCCAGAAUAUAAUCUGGCAUCUAAGGGAUCUGUCAGGGAACAUUUAUUGCUAGUUUGACUUCAGUGUGGCUUUUUUAAGUUACAGAUGUGCUUAAAGAGUAUUAUCCAUGCUUUCAGAUUUUUGAAGAUUUAAGGUAACUUUCAAUUGCAAAUGGAAGUCACCACACUAUAAUGUGGAAUGAAAGCAUUGUGUUUAGAUAAAAAUACCAUAAAAACCCUAAAUGCUCACUUGAGUUUUUUUUCUAAAUAAUGAGUGUAGUUACUUCAUAACAGACUUGCACUAAGGAUAAAUUACAUCCUUGCUGUGCUCAAGGGAAUAUGCUUUUCACUAAGAAAAGUAAAAUGAUCUAGUUUCCUCUAACAUAUUUACUAUGCUUCAAACAGUUAAUCAGAUUAAAACUGCCCAUUCUAGAUAUAUGGGUUUCUGCUAUUCUGGGCUCUCCACAGAUAAACUGAGCCAAUCCCAAAAGUCUUUACUUAUGUCAGCUCAUUUGAAGUCUGCAUGGAAGAGCAAUUUCCUUGGCAUCUGAGAAACACGACAAUUUUGUCAAAAAACUCUGACUGAAAUCUUUUAUCUAUUGUAGAGCUUAAGCAUCCCAGAGGUAUUGCUUGGACUCUUUGACAAGGGUCCAGAAUUAGCCAUACACACAACGAAGGUACGUCUGCUUAAUCAGUCACUCCUAUUAGUAGUAGUACUUAACAAAGUUGGGUCAGGCAGGUGGUGAGGCCCACUUGACAUGCUGAAUUACUUCUUCCUGGCAUAUAUUAAGUUGCACCUGGAGCAAAAGAAUGAAUUGUCUGAUGCUGUUGCAUUUCAUCACCUAUAGCAACUGACAUAAUAAAAAACGCUUUUAAAUGAUCUUCCUGAGGCCUAAGGUUUCAAAAUUUUUCUGGGAUUUGAAUAUGCCUCUAGAAGAAAAUAUCUCCUGGUCACAACUAGUAGGUGAAACAGCUGAGAGUGUUAUUCAAUAAAAAGCAUCAUUCUUAAUGUUAGAAGAGCUCAACAUUCACCCAAAAAGCCAGUACUGCUAAAAGCAAUGCCUGGGAAGAUGCAUAAGGGAGGUAAAGUUUAUCCAUGUGAAAAAAAGCAAAAAGAAGAAUAAACUCAAACUUCCAUCAUUACAUCAGAAAAUGCACACUUUGUAAUAGCAGUAAGAGAUAAAAGAUUUAAAUUCUUUCUACUCUGCAGAAAAAAAUGCUCUGGUACUGAAAUGAUAUUGAACAUCAGAGUAAUAUAAAUGUCACACAUAACCACACUAUUGACUUUGCAGUAUCUUUAUUUACAAAAAGUUGGUGCAAAUGACUGUGUCUUCAAUUUCUUAGGUUCCCUGUGUUCCCCUCAAAUUCAGUGGGAAUAAAGUGUAAAAUCUCCAAAUCCAGACUAAGCCAUUAGAACUGGACUUGGCAAAUUAACUCUUCUUGUGCGUUUAGAUUUAGGAAAGUGAAUUUAUUGUGUAAUAAUUGCAAUAAAUGUGCAUGUCUGCUCAGUAUUCAUUACCCUAUUUGAUUUUUCUUUGAAAACUUCUACUUGCCAUUAUGAUCUAUGACAGAGAGGAACUAUCUCCAUGGUUUGCUCGUUGGCAAAGUGAGUUCUGGCUGUGAAGUAGCGUGACUUCAUGUAUUACGGUUAUCAGGUAUAGCAGUCAGUUAUAAAGAGUCCUUGUUGCUAAGCAGGCUCCUAUUAUGUAAAGAACCACUUCACAAUUAAUGUCAUCUUUAAAGAAGAAUUGAUUAAGAAUUGACUUGAUAACCAAGUUUCUUGUUUGGGGUGAGGUGGGAACAGUUAGCAGAGCUGUCCAAUUUGUGUGGCUUGAAUGGCCCAUCAAGGUUUGAAAAUGUGGGUUUAUUUUUUAAGCGAUUUUACAGAGUUUAGGCACAUGGAUAUUUUUUAUUCUAACAGGAUUGCAGUUUCUAAGAUGUGGAUAUUAAACUAUCUUCUGUAAGUUUGUAAACUACUUGAGAUUUUCUGACUGAAACAGAUCAUGAACUAAUUAACAUGUUAUUGUUCCUUCUCCUUUUCAGCGUUUUUAAACUAUUCCUCUUCUGAAUUCUUCAGUGCUUUUAUGGAUGUUCUGAGACCUGGAGAGCAAAUUCUGCCACCAGCAAUAGAUUUGUUAUUUGUAGAUAGCUUUCAUCUAAAUAAUUAGAUACCUCCUUAUUAUUAAUGAAGAACGGGAUAAAAAUCAACAUCACAGUUAUUACAAAAAAUAAUAAUAAUUUUUCAUUCGUAAAUAUGGAUUAUACACUAAUUUUCAUCCAUAAAUAUUAAAAUUCUUUAUAAAGUCUUUGAUAUUUCCAUUUUACAGAUGCCCAAUGUUUAAGGUGUAUGAUAAGUAAUACAAUGAAAAGCUCUUGAAUUCUAGCUUAGUUCAACAUUCAUUAGACUAUCUUGCAAGUCUACAUAAUACAGCACAUAUUUUAAUACCAUACAGUGAGUAUAAAGUAAAUCUAAAAAGGAGGUAGUGUAGUACAGAUGCUCAAACUGAUGACCUUAUCAAACAUGACCAAAAUUCCAAGUUUAAGGAACUUAUUUAGACAAAAACACUGAAUUAAAAGGAUAAUUAAAGGAAAUAUUGAAGAAUGAAAACGCAGAAUAAGCCGAAUGUAAAAUCUGAGUAUGUUUUGUCAUGUACUGAAACUCAGCAUUUUAAAAAGAGCAUAGGAUGGCAGGAAAAAUAAGUGUAGAGAUGCAGGAUAGUGAGUAUCCAUAUCCUUUUUUUUUUUUUUCUUUUUUUUCUUUUUUUUUCCUAUUAGGAAGGCAUCAUUUAAAUGACUGCAAACUUUUACAUGGAAUAUUGCUUUACUAGAAAAUGCUGAUUUCAUUAAAUUAUUUGCAGGAAUGUAGACAUACAUAGUGGAUGAAAAUGUCCUUCUCUGGCUCCUAUGCAGAACCCCUCUCUGAGCUUCAGGAUUGUCAACAGACCACCUGGAGGGAUAAGUCUUAGCCAAGAACAUAGAAGCUUUGAGAGGCAUGAUCUCCCCGUCCUUCUUGGCUUCUUGCAGCUCACUUGGUCCUCAUCUUGUGAGAGAGCUGUCUGCACCUAUUAUUACUGCUGCUGAACCGUCUUGAGAGAAAGGCCCAAAUCAAAACCACAGCAUAAGCAAUUAAGAGCAUCAUAAAAACUUUUUUCUAUUCCAACAGACUCUGCAUUUUAGAAAGACAAAGCUGAUUAGCAUCAUGGCUUACUCUCAUUUAUUUUUCAGAAUAUAAGAAGCUUGAUUUUCCUUUUAUUUAUUUGUUUGUUUAUUUAUGAACUCCUAAAGAUCUCUGACUAUUUGCUGGUGAAAUCUUGUCCCUAUUAAAGUAAAAAUAAGUAAAUAAAAUCAUUAGGACUUCACUACAUCCAGGCUCUCCUUGUCUGCAGUAGGAGUUUGUGGCUUUUAUGACAGAAUAGUUGAAUAGUUUCCAGCUUAUGAUUUUGUCAUGUUUUUUUCUUUCAAAAAAGUGACAUGGUUCAGAUCUAAUUGGAAAAAUAAAGCUUGUCAGCAGAACCAUCUUUGUGAUACAUCAAUUCAAUGAUCUCCCUAUGGUUCUUUCCUAUUUUUUAAUAUUCUCAUAUAUGUAAUGUACUAAGUGAUUAAAUUCAGCAUUUAAUACAGAUCCAUAAUAUAUGAUUGACCAGAUGGAUCCAGUCCUGCCAGCUCCUUUUAACUUUUCUCUCUUAGUUGGGGUCAGAUUCAUAUUUUCAGGAACUAUAUGUUAUUUGAGAGGAAAUUGGGUGAUGGGGAAGCAUAGGGGAGGAAGCUGCUUUCAAACACCGAUACAGGAAAAAGACAAAUGCCAGAAUGUGCAGCUGUGAUUUUUUAAAACAUUUUAGUUUAUGUCAACGGAGUGGCAGCACAGGAAAGAUGAAUAGUUCAUACACUUAGUAGAAAUAAAAUUGAGUAUCCUGAAUCAUGAAGUUUAAGGAUGCCACUGUAUAUUUAUUUAUUUAUUCAGUGGAAUAACUGGAUUAGAUUUUGACAUGUAUAAAGUAGUUGCUUUGUGACAGUUAGCUGUUAGAUUAUAUGACACUGGAAUUUUCCAUUUUUGCUUCCAUGGCUUCCACUUCUGUCAGCACUUGGAUAAUGCUUGGAAAUUCCUUUUCCAAUCCAGACUUACCUUCCCUGUGAUUUUUACACAGAAGAACAUGUUCAUUCUCCAGCUACAGUGCACAGUGCACUACUGACAAGAGGUGGAGAUAGGAAAGAGGUGGCCUACUGUCUGCUUGGCACGUUGAGUACUGGAUAGAUCUCUUAUACUCAUGUCUCAAGGACACCAGAUCUGGGAAAGAUCAAGGCUGGCCUUAACAUCUAUAGAGAACUGCACAGAAGAUAAAAAGAGAAGCAAAAAAAAAAAAAAAAACCAAAACAAUAAUCACAAAGAAAGGGAGAGGAAUGUAAUGAAAUAUUUGUGGGAAUGGUUUAACUUCCAAUUUCAGUAAAAAUAAUUUUUCACCCAAGUAUCAAGAGAUAAUAAACCAGAAAUUAAAUUCUUAAAAAACAAACAAUCAUCUUAGUGAUUUAUAACAUUGUUCCUUGAUCAUCAGCUGGAGAGUUAAAUUAUCUAGAUGAGAUACACAGUAAUGUGGGGUUACACAUCGUUUUUUUCCAAGAUAUAUGAGCACCAUGUGUUAUAACUUCCUUGAGGACUGCAUUGUGGUUAGGCCACUUUGUUGAUUUUUUUUUGUUUUUUUUUUAUGAGAGUUGUUGUUUUCUUAUGAGGAAAGACUAAUCUCACAAAGAAAAAGCAGUUCCUUAAAAUGCACUCUGGAUUUUAUUAGGCACAGAUUAGUACUAUUUCCUCACACUGUUACUCCUACAAUAUAGCUUCUGCACCCAUUCGUAAGCAAUAGCGUGACACAUCAUUAUGAAGCUCUAUGGACUGUGUUUUUAAUACUGUGAUUACAUAAGAAAGCACAUGUAAGUAAGGACCUGGUUCUGUACCCUCUUAAGUCAGUGGUGCAAUUCUGAACCACAUAAAUAAAUCAGAUUUAUAGUUGUGAACUUGACAUUAAUUUUAUUUUUAAAAGAAUAUGUAUCGUAUGAAGGUAUAUCAAGUUUAUGUUUGAAAUAAACAUCUAAUAUAUACAAUAUUAAAGAACAGAAUAUGCUUCCCACUGCCCCUUCCCUUCCCUUCCCUUC